Molecule: long non-coding RNA, 390 nt
Organism: Arachis stenosperma
Lineage: Eukaryota; Viridiplantae; Streptophyta; Magnoliopsida; Fabales; Fabaceae
Exons: 4
Source: RefSeq, a predicted model, not a curated record
AAAACAUCCAUAAUAAAAAGAAAACAACUGCAAAGGGUGGCAAAAAAACAAACCCAAUCUGACAAGGAAACUGAACAAGCAAAAGACAAUGCUGCAGAAAGAAGAGGGCAAGCGUCGGAGACGAUAAGAGAAAAGAGAUAAAAAAUGAUGGAGCUCAGUCAACACACAUUGCUCCGGAUCACUUUGCCUCAACAGAGGCACAAAAUGAAUCCUCUCAGACACUGCCAACUGUAAAUCUCGGAAGUGAACUACUCUUGCAGACUCAGGAAACCUCCGCACCGUCUGUAAAUGUCCAAGACAAUACCAGGAAAAAUAUCCCAGAAUCCAUGGAAAAAUAUUUUAGAAAAAAGAAAAUCCAUCCAAGAAAGACUUAAAAAAGUCCACCAGUGU